This is a long non-coding RNA of Zea mays, 10165 nucleotides long. RefSeq lists it as uncharacterized. The transcript has 3 exons. The record is from RefSeq and is a predicted model, not a curated record. Lineage: Eukaryota; Viridiplantae; Streptophyta; Magnoliopsida; Poales; Poaceae.
AAUGUGUAUAGCCGUUUAUUAUAUCGCGCAUCGAUUCUUUGCUCGUCGCUAGAAAUCCUGAUCUGAAAUAUCUGCGAUUUUCCAUUAAAAAAAGAGAAAUUAAAAAAAUUCCAGCAGUCCUAUCCUCUACAGCCGCCCCUGAUAUUGUCAACCGUCCGUUGGCACUUAUCCUCCCACCGUUCAAUUCUCCUCUCCCUCUGAUAUUUUCAACGAGCUCAGAUUUUUGGCUAAUAGCCUUAUCCUGCAGCAACCGGUCUCUCUCUCCCUCUGAUUUUUCUUGCCGAUCAUCAGCCGUCGUCCUCAUCUGUUCGCGCAAUCAAGAAAAAUCAGGCCCCGUCUUCAUCCUUUCAGCAGCCGCAAGCUCCAGCUCUUGUCCGUACCGGCCACCGCCCCAGCCUGUCGAUCUCAUCUCCCUGUGAUUUUUUAUCAGCCGUCGGGGGGAGAAAAAUCUUCCCUGUUCUUAUCCCCUCGUCGCCCUGCUCAGAUUUUCUAGCCACCGCUGUACUGAUAUUUUGGCGCGCGAUGCCUAUUCCUUGCGCGCUCCUCUCUGCCGAGCGGCUUCUUCACGCGUGUCUCUCUCUCCCUGGUGCCUGCUCGCGACAAGCUCCUGCUCCCUUCCGUGGUCGCGUGCUCAGCUCUACUGCAGGCCGCGCCCAGCUUCUCUCCCUCGGCGCUCACAGCUCUCUCUCUCCCCUAGUCCCUGCCAUGGCCGCCGUUCCCUGGUCGGAGUUUCUUCUAGCUCGGAUCUCCUCCCUACGGCGCCCGAGCUCCAUGGCUGCUGCGUUCUUCAGCCGACGCGUCCUGCCGAGUCCUUCUCCAUCCCCACGGCGUCCUGCUUGCCCAGCUUUCAUCCAUGGCCGGAGCCCUCCCAUGUCACGUCCCAGCCAAGCCCCUGCCUCGAUCCCUGUCCGGGCCUGGCGGUUGCGCUGCUCUGGUGCCCAGGCUCUAGCGCGCUCGUCAUCAGCUCGACAUCUCCUCGAGCUCGCCCCUGUCUUCCUGCUCGGCGCCCAAAUUCCUGCUCGCCUUUGCGUCGCGCGCGUAGCGUUCCGUUGUUUCUACGCGUGCUGCCGCGAAGCUCUCUGUUCAGUUCACCUCCAUCGCGUUGUCGUGCGCGCGAAAUUGCUCGCUCCACGCUAUCGUCGUUUCCUCGUGCCCGCUGGUCGUGCGCCCCUGCAGCUCCCUGUUCGGCAAAAUGUGUGGACCAGUGCUCGUCGCGUGUUGGGAAGAUCGGCACCGAUGUUCUUGCCGAAUAUUGAUUGUUUGAUUUUGGGGAGAUCGACGCACGCAUGGUGUUCGAUGAAUGGCUCAAACCGGAUAGCCUUGUCGAAAUCAUAGCUCCGAGUCGAUUCGGACAUGGUACGUGAAUUAACCACGCGAUGCGGAGAACCAGAACUGAUCGACCACAAGAUGGUGCUGAUGAACGGAACUGGAGAUGGACAGACGAAGCAAGUAUCGGGACAAAGGAUGGUCGUCAAGUGAUCGACGCCUAACAAACACUAACCUAGUGUUACCCAGGCAAGCCCCGGUGCAUGCAACCCCUUCCUUGUGUUUUCAAAUAAUUUCUGCACACUUUAAGUCUAGUGAAAUGUGCAUUCGGUUUAUAGGAGUUGCUUGGAACCUUUUGAUGCAUUGCCUUCCUUGCUAUCCACACCUAUAUAGGUACUUCUGGUGAAGUAUCAAAACAUGAUUUACAAAAAUGCUUAGCCCUGCUUAGAUCUUGUGGAUAGAGGUUGUCCUUAGCCUAGCUCGAGAAAGGAUGGCUUCUACCUGCAAGAAUAUUUUCAUUGAGAGCGUGGUGGGAUCUUACUGUAAAGUUCCCUUUGAUGCUCUUUUCAUCCUAAGGAAUACAAACAAUCCUAAGGGUGGAAGUACUUAAAUCGGGACUUGGGCUAGGAGCAGGUGAUGCUCCGCCCGGGUCAAUUAAGGAUUGGAUGCGUAUGUAGGCCUGAUAGAUCAAGGACUAUCUUAACUGGCCACAUGCCCUGGAAAUGGGACAGGGUAAGCUUGAACCCGGCUAUUCCAUACGUGAAAAGACAACCGCGCACUGGGCGUGGGAGAUGGUGGGAGUAGCGUGUGCCCUCCUGGCUAGAGGCUGGAUGGAGGACUACUGUGCUCCCGGGUAGCGCGGACCGGUUCACGUUGUGGAGGAUCUGUGGGAACGGUUGACAUAUGCAAGGGUUAAGUGCUACAUAUGUCGUGUGGUUAGAGAUCCUUAGCUGAGUAAAUCGAUUCGGAUCGCCGUUAUAUCCCCGGAGAGUGGAGACUUGAUCACUGACCUGCAACCUAAGUCAGGAUAUGAACCUCAUGAAUAAAAAUGAUGUUGUAUUGAUGAGAUGGUGAAAUUAGAUCAGAUGCAAACAGAGUCUAUUAAUACUUAAUUCGGCGUUAAAAUGUUGAAAGUAAGGACUCACUUUAGUAAGCUAUUUCUGCAAAAGUAUCUAAGUUGAUUUUUGCUAAAGCCUCUUCUUGAUUCCUAUUUAUCCAGCAUACCCUUGAGAGUCUUUUCCUUAGUCGGGUAAGACUUGCUGAGUAAUUCCAUACUCAGGGUUUUAUUCCCUGUUGUUUUUCAGGUUCUAACCUUGUGCUGCUGUAAUGGUGUUAAGUGCCGGUGGGCUCGGCCUUCUUAUAAGUCUAAGUAACCCUUCUAUACUUCUUAUUGAGGAUGGUCGUUUGAGCUAGCAUAUAUUUCAAACAUAUACUUUUGUAAUCACUCCGAUAAAAUAAUGUAAAAUUUUUGUAACUUGUAAAAUUUGGUAACAAGAUUUCCGCUGCAAAAAUAUUGGUGUGUGUGAUUUGUGUUACUUAAUCCCGUGGUUCUGGUUGUAAGUGGUUUAUCUGAGGUCCUUGGGACACUCGGACGGAUCCUGUUAAGUUAUUUGGUGCACAUGCAUAGCCGUCUGAGGUCUUUGAGACAAGGACAGGUGCAUGUGGGCCCAAUAACUUGGGAGGUUCUGCCACAGCUGGUAUCGGAGCUGGAUUAAGGAUAUACAGUCACAUACGUAUUUUCAAAACAAAAGUUUUGGUUUUAGAAAACCUAUUUUCAACUAAACACAUUGUUUGGUUUUGAAUUACAGCUUUGAAAAAAACUAUAAUGCUAGCGACAUCCUCUGUUAAGCCCUAAAUUAAGGACUAUCAGGUGGCUUAGUUGAAAACCCAUAACCGGGUGGGUAUUGCAUACAUGUGUAUUGUUAUUUUUGAGGCCAUUCAGUUCUGAAUGGAUCGGCACUCAGGUAAGGUGAGAUGUGAGAGCAUGACCGAACAAACAUCGGUCUAGGGAAGUGCUUAAUUGUGGCGCCUGACUAUAUACAUGUUCUACAUAUGUAUAUAUGAAGGCUGCGAUGUGGAGUAUUUACUUUUCUGGGUUUCAGUACCCCAUGUGUGUGUAUGGGUAUACAGACAUGGGAAUACUGAGAAAUGUAAUGUACUUGUAACGACGCACCUACGCUCAGGUAAGAAGGUGAGUUACCAUAAUGAGUUGCCCUAUGGUUAAAGUGUGGCAACGGUGCCUAUGCGUGGCUCGGCGCUUAAUGAUGAGCUGGCCUCCAUAUAGAAAUAUAUGGAGUAUAAAUUGUGAUAAACUGUCAUGUGUGACUUGCAUCAUUGGGAAUUGGGCUGUAAUGGAUUUUCUGCAGGUACACUAACCUCGAAAACGUAUGUGUAGCUGACGACUAGAAAAAUACCGUGAGAGAACGUAUGCCACCGAUAUAGAACGUUAUUGCCACAAUAUGUUGGCAAAAUUAGUGAGGACGAAUAGGACGAGCAUGCAUCCUGAUUGUUGCAUCAUGUUUGUCACCUAUACACCCAAAAUGCUUCUCUCAUCCUUAUUCCGGAAACCAGUGAUUGUAGAUAAUCUGGUGUAAUGUUGAAUUAUGAACUUCAAUAAAAUAGUUGUUCUCCAUUCCUUAGGUAUUAUGUUUAGAUGCUAUAUAUGUGCUCUUGUGCUUAAUGUGUCGAUAGAAGGUUAGUGACUUGUUUGCCUAAACCCAAAUCUAGGCCAUGUUCUUAGUUGGUGAACCAUGACCAAAGUUGAUUUUUUCGUUACCCCUCCUUGACCCAAACUUAUACAAAUAAAUGCUUAGAUAAUUUCUUCGUUGGACAAAAAGGGUACUUAAGCUUAAAAUAAGAAUCUCGACUCAUAUUUUCAUCUUAGACCAUGCCCUUAUUCGGUUGGCGCAAGCUGAUAUCCCUAAUUCCAGCUUGCCUGUUCUUGAUAAUCACAUCAUUGCUUUAUCGACCCAACCUAGGAAAGACAAGUCUCAUCAUUUUCUUGAGUUUGAUGCCUUUGAUUUCCUCAUUUCUAUUGAAGGCAUACCAACUUAAUCUUAUGAUUGUUUUCCCUCCGUAUCUAAUCAGAUACUCAUCCUUGACCUUGUAAUCUCUAUGAUGGGCAUAGAAAUAUGCUUGGGGCUGAAUUAACAGUCUCCCAUCGUACUCCUUUCAACAAGUUUAGGUUAUGGCCAUGCCUUGUUCAUUUCAUCGGGCCAUGAUCUAUUUGGUUCUCUGCUUGUAACCAUCUUUACUGGUGGAGUAUCUCUUUGUAUAUUGUCACCCUUGCUCAAUCUAUUGGUGUCGCGCGAGAUUUCUUAUUGGUUACGUCUUGUAAUGGUGUUGUGACUAAAAUCGAUGGUGCCGCGAUGAAACCGAGGGCCUCCUGUGGACGAUCGACACACGGUUGUGCUGCUCGGCACACGCUGGUAUCACGAUUAGUAGUUGUGAUCCAUUAUGAGACUAUAUCAAUGGGUUAUCUUGGCACGAUCUAUUUCUGCUACAUAAGAUUCAUUAUUGGUGCUAGUUCGAUGAUGGUGUCCUAGUCAAUAACUUAGGGUGCCGCGUAAAUCCGAAAGUCUCAUGUGGCGGCCGACACAUGGUAGUACUAUUCGGUACGCUAGUAUCGAAGUUCUUGGCUAUGAUCCAUUAUGGAACCACACUAACAUGCUAUCUUCCGUAGAUCUCUUCCUUGAAACGAUUCCGGUGUUGUUUGUCGAAGUGACCAAGCAACAUCUGUCAUCUUCAUUGGAUCAAAAGGGCAUACCACUCUCAUGUGUGGUCUUAUUUAUUUUGAUCUUGGUAGUGACUACUCAUACCCGUUCCCUUUACGUCCUUUGUGUAAAGGUGAAGCCUUGGAGUUUUUUUAGUGUCAAGGGACAACUGAUUAGCUCUCAAUAUGGAGAUCUGUUUCCCCUGCUGCUGAGAUGCAGGAGUUUGUUCAUUCGCUCUCUUAUUUAAUCCAUGUAUUCCCUAACCAAGUGGAUAAUGCGUCUCGCAUGAAGAAACGGAUAAACAACAUGACCAAAUGGAUUUCUGCCCAAAUGCAUGACCAACUGUUAAUAUGAGUGAACUCUCAACCCUUGGCUUACCGAGGGUACUGAGAGGACCUGCUCAAUGUCAAAAGUUGAUCAACAAGUUGGUUUUGACUAACUUGUAACUGCCCAAUGAACAAAGGUUGAGUUUAGAGAUCGAUUUGUCGAGUUAUCUAAACUCACUUUGGUUCAGCCCAUCCUGAGAAAGUACUUACAAAAAUCAAGUUAAAAUCGAUUGAUAACCACCUAGUUAUCGCUCUAGUCAUGUCUCGAUCGCCUCGCGUGUGCUUUUCCCAGCAUGUGUGAUCAUGUCGAGUCGUGACUAGUGCUGGAUAAACAGGAUUGGUUGCGAAGUCAACAUCAACGGAUUUCUUCGUUGAUAUUUUACGAGUCUUUAUCAUUUCUCUGGGACUUGGAUUUUCUGGCUAGCCACGGGUCAACUGUGGUGUUGUUCGCCAUCCGCACUUGUCACGUGUGCUAUGAGCUUACAUAACCACUUGUUGGUAAACCUCUUUCUGUGUGUUUUACCCAAGAUGGUGCAUCUGGUUCUGUUUGGGUAAGAUCGUGUAUUUACCGCUCGCCCAAUAGACUCAGAUAGUACAAUGUCAUCAGAAAAAGCAAACUGCACACAUGGAACCUUAUGUGUUCCUCUGGCAGACAUGGUCUCUAUUGGUGGACAUUUCUGAAUUAGCAUAAGGCGAUGCAUGUUAUGUCCACUAGAGAAACCUCAUCCUGAGACACUUGCCUUCGCUCAGAACUGCCUUAUGAUUACCGCUGAUAUGGACGUGGGUUACAUGCUUCUCUACUCUUGAAAGUCUUUCGCUCCGAAUCUCGGGACGAGAUUCUUUUAAGGGGGAAGGGCUGUAACACCCCAGGUGUUUAUAUUCCGCUCGACGAUGAGUACGAAUUUAAGCACGUAAUCAGUGGAUAAGACAGAUGUUAAAUUUUAGGCAUCUUCGCCUUUCGCGAUUUUAAUAUCGCAUCUGUUUCGUCGGUCGCGAGUUCGACAUCGGUUGUAUCUAUCCGGGCUCUUCCUAAAUUUUCGUGAUGUUCGGAACAUCGUUGUUCUGAAAAUCGUUGCGUCCGGUGACUAUUUAAAAAUUCAUCGCUCGCACGGAUACGAAUUCGGAAGCUCGACCCACUGGGUGAUUUGUAUCCCGAACAAAUUAAUUUGAACUCAACGACUAAAAUGUUCGGGGCAAAAUAAUUUGUGUCGCGCGAACUCGUGCGCGAGGUUAAGAUCUAAUUUAUCCGUCCGCACGCUGUUUUGGCGACGAAAUCGCGUAUACGUUCGCGGAUUUGGUUUCGGCUAAUUUCGGUCGAAUCAUGUAGAGCAGAUUAAAAUACCGAAGCCGAACUCGUGUCGAUCUGGUCCGUUUAUAUCGUGGCCGGAAUAGUCACGAAAAUUAUCUAAACUAAUCUUAGUCAGAAUCGUAAAUCUCGGAUGUUCUGUUUCAGGAUCCGAGGAAAUAAUGUGUAUAGCCGUUUAUUAUAUCGCGCAUCGAUUCUUUGCUCGUCGCUAGAAAUCCUGAUCUGAAAUAUCUGCGAUUUUCCAUUAAAAAAAGAGAAAUUAAAAAAAUCCCAGCAGUCCUAUCCUCUACAGCCGCCCCUGAUAUUGUCAACCGUCCGUUGGCACUUAUCCUCCCACCGUUCAAUUCUCCUCUCCCUCUGAUAUUUUCAACGAGCUCAGAUUUUUGGCUAAUUGCCUUAUCCUGCAGCAACCGGUCUCUCUCUCCCUCUGAUUUUUCUUGCCGAUCAUCAGCCGUCGUCCUCAUCUGUUCGCGCAAUCAAGAAAAAUCAGGCCCCGUCUUCAUCCUUUCAGCAGCCGCAAGCUCCAGCUCUUGUCCGUACCGGCCACCGCCCCAGCCUGUCGAUCUCAUCUCCCUGUGAUUUUUUAUCAGCCGUCGGGGGGAGAAAAAUCUUCCCUGUUCUUAUCCCCUCGUCGCCCUGCUCAGAUUUUCUAGCCACCGCUGUACUGAUAUUUUGGCGCGCGAUGCCUAUUCCUUGCGCGCUCCUCUCUGCCGAGCGGCUUCUUCACGCGUGUCUCUCUCUCCCUGGUGCCUGCUCGCGACAAGCUCCUGCUCCCUUCCGUGGUCGCGUGCUCAGCUCUACUGCAGGCCGCGCCCAGCUUCUCUCCCUCGGCGCUCACAGCUCUCUCUCUCCCCUAGUCCCUGCCAUGGCCGCCGUUCCCUGGUCGGAGUUUCUUCUAGCUCCGAUCUCCUCCCUACGGCGCCCGAGCUCCAUGGCUGCUGCGUUCUUCAGCCGACGCGUCCUGCCGAGUCCCUCUCCAUCCCCACGGCGUCCUGCUUGCCCAGCUUUCAUCCAUGGCCGGAGCCCUCCCAUGUCACGUCCCAGCCAAGCCCCUGCCUCGAUCCCUGUCCGGGCCUGGCGGUUGCGCUGCUCUGGUGCCCAGGCUCUAGCGCGCUCGUCAUCAGCUCGACAUCUCCUCGAGCUCGCCCCUGUCUUCCUGCUCGGCGCCCAAAUUCCUGCUCGCCUUUGCGUCGCGCGCGUAGCGUUCCGUUGUUCCUACGCGUGCUGCCGCGAAGCUCUCUGUUCAGUUCGCCUCCAUCGUGUUGUCGUGCGCGCGAAAUUGCUCGCUCCCCGCUAUCGUCGUUUCCUCGUGCCCGCUGGUCGUGCGCCCCUGCAGCUCCCUGUUCGGCAAAAUGUGUGGACCAGUGCUCGUCGCGUGUUGGGAAGAUCGGCACCGAUGUUCUUGCCGAAUAUUGAUUGUUUGAUUUUGGGGAGAUCGACGCACGCAUGGUGUUCGAUGAAUGGCUCAAACCGGAUAGCCUUGUCGAAAUCAUAGCUCCUAGUCGAUUCGGACAUGGUACGUGAAUUAACCACGCGAUGCGGAGAACCAGAACUGAUCGACCACAAGAUGGUGCUGAUGAACGGAACUGGAGAUGGACAGACGAAGCAAGUAUCGGGACAAAGGAUGGUCGUCAAGUGAUCGACGCCUAACAAACACUAACCUAGUGUUACCCAGGCAAGCCCCGGUGCAUGCAACCCCUUCCUUGUGUUUUUAAAUAAUUUCUGCACACUUUAAGUCUAGUGAAAUGUGCAUUCGGUUUAUAGGAGUUGCUUGGAACCUUUUGAUGCAUUGCCUUCCUUGCUAUCCACACCUAUAUAGGUACUUCUGGUGAAGUAUCAAAACAUGAUUUACAAAAAUGCUUAGCCCUGCUUAGAUCUUGUGGAUAGAGGUUGUCCUUAGCCUAGCUCGAGAAAGGAUUGCUUCUGUCUGCAAGAAUAUUUUCAUUGAGAGCGUGGUGGGAUCUUACUGCAAAGUUCCCUUUGAUGCUCUUUUCAUCCUAAGGAAUACAAACAAUCCUAAGGGUGGAAGUACUUAAAUCGGGACUUGGGCUAGGAGCAGGUGAUGCUCCGCCCGGGUCAAUUAAGGAUUGGAUGCGUAUGUAGGCCUGAUAGAUCAAGGACUAUCUUAACUGGCCACAUGCCCUGGAAAUGGGACAGGGUAAGCUUGAACCCGGCUAUUCCAUACGUGAAAAGACAACCGCGCACUGGGCGUGGGAGAUGGUGGGAGUAGCGUGUGCCCUCCUGGCUAGAGGCUGGAUGGAGGACUACUGUGCUCCCGGGUAGCGCGGACCAGUUCACGUUGUGGAGGAUCUGUGGGAACGGUUGACAUAUGCAAGGGUUAAGUGCUACAUAUGUCGUGUGGUUAGAGAUCCUCAGCUGAGUAAAUCGAUUCGGAUCGCCGUUAUAUCCCCGGAGAGUGGAGACUUGAUCACUGACCUGCAACCUAAGUCAGGAUAUGAACCUCAUGAAUAAAAAUGAUGUUGUAUUGAUGAGAUGGUGAAAUUAGAUCAGAUGCAAACAGAGUCUAUUAAUACUUAAUUCGGCGUUAAAAUGUUGAAAGUAAGGACUCACUUUAGUAAGCUAUUUCUGCAGAAGUAUCUAAGUUGAUUUUUGCUAAAGCCUCUUCUUGAUUCCUAUUUAUCCAGCAUACCCUUGAGAGUCUUUUCCUUAGUCGGGUAAGACUUGCUGAGUAAUUCCAUACUCAGGGUUUUAUUCCCUGUUGUUUUUCAGGUUCUAACCUUGUGCUGCUGUAAUGGUGUUAAGUGCCGGUGGGCUCGGCCUUCUUAUAAGUCUAAGUAACCCUUCUAUACUUCUUAUUGAGGAUGGUCGUUUGAGCUAGCAUAUAUUUCAAACAUAUACUUUUGUAAUCACUCCGAUAAAAUAAUGUAAAAUUUUUGUAACUUGUAAAAUUUGGUAACAAGAUUUCCGCUGCAAAAAUAUUGGUGUGUGUGAUUUGUGUUACUUAAUCCCGUGGUUCUGGUUGUAAGUGGUUUAUCUGAGGUCCUUGGGACACUCGGACGGAUCCUGUUAAGUUAUUUGGUGCACAUGCAUAGCCGUCUGAGGUCUUUGAGACAAGGACAGGUGCAUGUGGGCCCAAUAACUUGGGAGGUUCUGCCACAGCAGAGAGGGGCACGAACGCGGCGCUAGGCGGUCGACGGUGAUGGCGGAUCGACGUUGUGUAGAUUCGCGCACCCUGGACGGCCACACGCCCAACGACCCCACUGCACAGGGUCAGGGCACGCUGAGCUUCCACAAACGCCCCACAAGCACCAGACAAUGGUGGCGACGCGCCUCCCCACCCACGGCCGAACGGGUUCAGGUGUUCCCUCCCCUCCUCACACGACGCAACGAUCUUUUGGUGGAGGUGAGGAUGCACAAGGAGGAGACUAGGACGGCACUGGGAUCGUGGCCAUGUAAAUAGGCAUGGACUGGGCCAGGGCGUCGCAACAACUCUUGCGGCAUUCGCGCGCCACCGCCAAGCUCGGUGAGUUCGUUGCGAGGGGAAGAUCUGACGGGAGGGGGCCACUAGUCAGUGGGGCAACACGCGCAGGUGU